Mirounga angustirostris (Northern elephant seal) is the source of this 1062-nucleotide long non-coding RNA. RefSeq lists it as uncharacterized. The transcript has 2 exons. The record is from RefSeq and is a predicted model, not a curated record. NCBI's taxonomy places the organism in Eukaryota, Metazoa, Chordata, Mammalia, Carnivora, Phocidae.
UUUUAGCGCCAGGAUGGACAGCAGGGUUUAGUGAUUAAUGGAGUCAUUCUAGGUAAGAGUAUUUGGCAGUACAGCUAACGUCUUCCAUGAGCCACAGAGCUAAACAAAAGUAACUCACUCUGACUUGUGAGUUUUGUUCUCAGUAGGAAAACGGAACCAUUCAAAAUAGUAUUUUGUGUGUCUCUUCUUCUGAAAGUAACCUGCCGGGUGCUGCGGUGGAGGUGGGCGUGGGAAGCAGCCUGAGGUCGGUUCGGAGGCUUCCGCAUCAUCCGUCUGGAGCAUCGUCCCCGUCACGCCACAUUCCCAGGACUCAGGAAGGCACAGCAUUGACAGCUCAGGGUCUGUUGUGAUGACUGGUAUUAUUUGCGGGUCCGUCUGAUGCUCGGCCCCACCACCCGCCGAGGCUGCUCCCCGCAGACACACUGCCAGUAAUUAGAGAGGAGCCUGCUUCCCCGGAGCUGUCGCUGCAGGUACUCAGGGCUCCUCUGCGUGCUGGGCACGUUUGAGGACCCUGAAGACACCAAGAUGAGCGGGACAGUCUCCUGUACAAAGGUUCUGCUGCCCUCCCCCCAGUGCCUUUUGGGUGAAAACUACAGCAGGAGAUGGAGAACCCGCAAGUGAAACAAAACCCAGGCCCUUCUGUGUCUUCUCUUCUCUUCUGUGUCAGGUGCUCCCAGGUGGGUCUGUGUCAGGUGCUCCCAGGUGGGUCUGUGUCAGGUGCUCCCAGGUGGCUGUGGUGCCUGAUCUUUGCUGUCCCUUCUCUGCCAUACCUGAGAUUGCAUCGAGAUGGAGUUUUGAAGGCUCUGGGUGCUCAGGGACGAACAGAGUGGACAGCUGCCUCGAAGAAGCAUGUGGGGUAGAUUCUGAUGAAGGUCCCUCAAGGACUUCCACCUCCUCCAGGAAGCCCUUGAGGGCCGGUAGGGCGAGCUGGAGCCCCAUCCCUGUUGCCAGUUGGUGGUGUGCCACAAACUGAAUUAGUUGACCUCAGGGAAAGCAGCCUGCUGACCACCACGUGCUCCGGCCCUAGCUAAGACCGAGGGUAACAUGAAUUGAGUCAUCGUA